This 72-nucleotide transfer RNA is filed under the name Planctomycetota bacterium. RNAcentral describes it as "Planctomycetes bacterium tRNA-Met". It matches the Rfam family "tRNA". Rfam says of the family: Transfer RNA (tRNA) molecules are approximately 80 nucleotides in length. Their secondary structure includes four short double-helical elements and three loops (D, anti-codon, and T loops). Lineage: Bacteria; Pseudomonadati; Planctomycetota. The record is from RNAcentral. RNAcentral also lists the same sequence under 1 other name.
CGCGGCGUGGAGCAGUGGUAGCUCGCCAGGCUCAUAACCUGGAGGUCGUAGGUUCAAAUCCUGCCGCCGCAA